CAGUAGCCGCGGUAAUACAGAGGGUGCAAGCGUUAAUCGGAAUUACUGGGCGUAAAGCGCGCGUAGGUGGUUCGCCAAGUUGGAUGUGGAAUCCCCGGGCUCAACCUGGGAACUGCAUCCAAAACUGGCGAGCUAGAGUAUGGUAGAGGGUGGUGGAAUUUCCUGUGUAGCGGUGAAAUGCGUAGAUAUAGGAAGGAACAUCAGUGGCGAAGGCGACCACCUGGACUGAUACUGACACUGAGGUGCGAAAGCGUGGGGAGCAAACAGGAUUAGAUACCCCGGUAGUCCCUGUCUCUUAUAC
This 301-nucleotide ribosomal RNA is filed under the name uncultured bacterium. RNAcentral describes it as "partial 16S ribosomal RNA". It matches the Rfam family "Bacterial small subunit ribosomal RNA", at positions 509 to 807 of the family's 1533-position model. The record is from RNAcentral.